UACAGAGGUCUCAAGCGUUGUUCGGAUUCACUGGGCGUAAAGGGUGCGUAGGUGGUGAGGUAAGUCGGAUGUGAAAUCUCCGAGCUCAACUCGGAAAUGGCAUUGGAAACUACCUUGCUAGAGGAUUGGAGGGGAGACUGGAAUGCUUGGUGUAGCAGUGAAAUGCGUAGAUAUCAAGCGGAACACCAGUGGCGAAGGCGAGUCUCUGGACAAUUCCUGACGCUGAGGCACGAAAGCCAGGGGAGCAAACGGG
RNAcentral lists this ribosomal RNA (253 nucleotides) under uncultured bacterium. Its description in RNAcentral is "partial 16S ribosomal RNA". It matches the Rfam family "Bacterial small subunit ribosomal RNA", at positions 524 to 776 of the family's 1533-position model. The record is from RNAcentral.